AGAAAAUACUUUGUGUAAAUUUGCCAUAUUUACACUCCUUCUAUUAAAGCAUGUUUACUUGCACCGUGAUUUUAUCUUUUAAGUGAAAUAUUUCGGAGAACAGUAUAGUAAAAGUCUAUGUACCCUCCCUCCUAGCAUAAAAAUUAUAAAGUUCAAUUCAUUUUUUCCUAGUCUUCCCUAACCCAGAGGGCAAUUUAGACCCUAUGUUAACAGUAACAAAUAGUAUUUUUUUAAAAAAAAUCUGUCCCAAAGGCUAGACAACCCACAAGGGUUUCCCUAAUUAUUUUGGGGAAUUGCGUGAGGGUUGCUUUCAAACACAAGGAAUUUGCACAACCACAUGGAGUACAUGGUUCUCUCUGGCUCUGGCUCUGUCUCCCAGCAGAAAUAUCUGCUGCCGGUAGCUAUGGAAGGCACCUAAGGGCUGCUACUGCCACAGGUGCCGCCUGCAGCUGACGCUCACUAUUGAAGCUAUACUUCUUUGGGUUGUUGGAGUGGUGACAGUGCUCUUAUUCUCUCUGGAGGUAGAAAAAUCCUUCUCCUCUUGUUGAGAUACAGGGAUCCCAAAUUAGUGUGACUGGUGAUCACAACAUCUCAUCAAUAUUUGGUGAAACAGGCCUCACAGCUGUUCAUCAGACAAGUGAAUUAACUGACCGAUUGUUGUACUUAGAACCUUUGUCCCUCUCCAGGACUCAAGCAUUAUCUGAGUCCCAAGCUCACUUUUCCCAGAGAAUGGGCUUCUUGAAGGGGCUGCUUUGUUUCUCAGUACACAUACACCAUUGGCCAACUUGCCUGUCAAUCCUACAGGCCACUCUAGAUUCUAGAGCAAACACACUUUAAGUCCCAGCUUGGCUUACUCUUCUAAGGGAAGAACUCAUGUCCAUCAGAUUUAUUUGAUGUUAUUUUCUGAACAAUAAAAGUGUUCAAAUAGAUUAUAGGAACAUUGCCUAGGAUAAUAUGGUAUAGCUGUGGUUUGUGAUUUAUGGUAUAUCCAUAUGAUCAGGUACAAUGUACAAUUUUCAAAUGAUGAUUAUGAAAAUUAUGUAGCAAGAUAGUAACAUGGUCAUUACAUACUUUUAAGUAGAAAAAUCAGGAUUCAAAAUUAUGUGUGUAUUAUGAUUAAAACUAGUAUUACUUGUGAUUACAACUAUUAUUACUUAUGAUUUUACUUACAAAGGAGUAAUUAGAGAACAUAGCCAUGUUAGGGUGAGGAUCAUAAGUUAUAUCAUAAUGAAAGAAUUUAUUUUUCAGAAUGUUUAUUACACAAAGUAAUAAAAUAUUUACUAUGUGCUAAAAAUUGUUACCAAAUAUUAAGUAUUGCAUAAUCUUUCUGUUUUGUAAAACACUGUCCAAGCACCAGUAUUAAAGGAUCUUUUAUCUGUCUGAUUACUGCAAGAACCUGGAAUCAAUAAAAUAUGGUAUUUUUUCUUCAUCUCAAA
Molecule: long non-coding RNA, 1436 nt
Organism: Homo sapiens (human)
Lineage: Eukaryota; Metazoa; Chordata; Mammalia; Primates; Hominidae
Source: Ensembl